Long non-coding RNA from Fukomys damarensis (Damara mole-rat), 469 nucleotides. RefSeq lists it as uncharacterized. The transcript is spliced from 3 exons. NCBI's taxonomy places the organism in Eukaryota, Metazoa, Chordata, Mammalia, Rodentia, Bathyergidae. The record is from RefSeq and is a predicted model, not a curated record.
UUCUGGUUUGAGGCCCCAAAAAUAAUACAUACAAAAUAUGGCAUUUUGGGUCAUUCGCUGAGCAGUUGGAUAUGAAAUGAAGAGGAAAUGAAGAGGACCUACAGCUGAACUCCAGAAAAGGGAUACUGACCCUUAAAUUAACAGAUACUGACUGGAAUCAAAAGCAGUGCACAUAAAUUGGCUCUUGGUUGAAUUCUGGACAAUGCAGAAAUUAGGAGCAACACCAGGUAGCAGCCUGGCUUAUGAAAAGAACUCUGUGAGAGCUAAGAGGCAUUUAAGUCAUCUAUCCUGAUGAACAAAUAAACAUUUACACAAUGGAGUACUACACGGCUCUAAAAAAGGAUGAAUUGGCAUCAUUGGUAAGAACAUGGAUAGACCUAGAGAUCAUAACACUGAAGGAAGAAAAUCAGAUGAAGGGGUUAAGUAUUGUGUGGCUUGUCUAAUAUGAGAGAUCCAAAAUAUAAAUAAU